Eupeodes corollae is the source of this 510-nucleotide long non-coding RNA. RefSeq lists it as uncharacterized. The record is from RefSeq and is a predicted model, not a curated record. The transcript is spliced from 2 exons. NCBI's taxonomy places the organism in Eukaryota, Metazoa, Arthropoda, Insecta, Diptera, Syrphidae.
ACCCUUCAUCGCUGUGUGCUCCCUCGGAUUGCACUCCCUCGGAUUGCACUCCCUCUACCUCCAAACAAGCAACCCUUCGCUCAAAAUUAGUUGCACUGGAGGAGGAAAAGGUGGAAAUCGCGCGAGGGGUGCUAAAUGAAUUGAAGGAAAUGCGAGUUCUAAAACAGAAAAGGUUGGAAUUCGAGAUGCUUAAAUACAAGGAAGAAAAAGAAAAUAGAACAAAUAACUGAGAACUUUGCAGAGAUUGGAUGGAGAGUUAUCGUGUGUAUUUUUUGUUAAUGAAUUUUAUAAUUUUUGUUUUUAACUGUGAUGAAAUACUUUUUUUUUAAAUGAAUUGUUUUUUUUUUGUUUAGUAUUAAGUGUGUUAUUUUUAUUUUUAAGAAAGCUUAUAGUUAGGUUAAGAUUAGUUUAUAAGUUUAGUAAUAAGAUUUUUAGUCAUGAAGACAAACUGAAGUUCCUUUUUUUGUAAACAAAACAAAGUACAAAUAAAAAAAUUAAUUGAAAAAAGUA